UACUUCCCUCCUUCAGUUCCUAUUUGAGGAAACUGAGGCUAUGAGCAUCUGUCCCAAAUACACAGAAUUAGUCCUGGGCUUGGACCCAAGUCCUGCAGUAGCAGCCACUACCUCUGACAGGCAGAUCUGUCCUCAAAACAAAGCAGGGCUCUCAUCACGGAGCUGGGACAGCCUGCCUGCCUGGUUGAGAGGCAGAAAUGGCUUCAUGGGAGCUCAGCACAUGCUUGUUCCCUCAGCCAUGUGACUUUGGGAAACUCACCAAAACCUCUCUGGGCCUCACUGGCUCAUUUGUCAAGAGGCGAUGCUAACCUGUGCCGUCUGCAUCGCGGGGUUCUGUGAGGGCCUGCUGAGAGGUGAAACGGACGGGAGAAAGGCUUCGGGGGAGUCAGGAGCGAGUGGGAUGGUCCUUCAUAAAGGUUCUACUGACAUGUUACUACAGAAGCAGAAGCCCAGGAGACAGAAAGCAGACAGGCUACAAUCCCGUCCGGGAGCCCUGCUCUGGAACCAGGACCUGCCCCUGCACGGGGUCCAAGCGAGGCCCACGGUCCACAGAGCCAGACCCUGCCCCGAACCGAUGGCCAAUCCUAGAAGACAAAAGACAGAGAGAUGGUCUUCCUGAACCAGGAACCCCAGAGAAAAUUUCCAAGAGGAGAUAUCCUAACUGGAGGAGGAAAACAGGGAAGAAGGAUGCUCCAGGGAGAAGGAACAGUGCAGCCCCAGGAGCAGAGGACACGGAGGAGGCUGCCUGUGGGGGGACUGCGA
Molecule: long non-coding RNA, 762 nt
Filed under: Equus caballus (horse)
Lineage: Eukaryota; Metazoa; Chordata; Mammalia; Perissodactyla; Equidae
Description: lncRNA (ENSECAG00000043159.2)
Source: RNAcentral